RNAcentral lists this ribosomal RNA (497 nucleotides) under uncultured bacterium. Its description in RNAcentral is "partial 16S ribosomal RNA". It matches the Rfam family "Bacterial small subunit ribosomal RNA", at positions 28 to 507 of the family's 1533-position model. The record is from RNAcentral.
GAUGAACGCUGGCGGCGUGCCUAAUACAUGCAAGUCGAGCGAACAGACGAGGAGCUUGCUCCUCUGACGUUAGCGGCGGACGGGUGAGUAACACGUGGAUAACCUACCUAUAAGACUGGGAUAACUUCGGGAAACCGGAGCUAAUACCGGAUAAUAUAUUGAACCGCAUGGUUCAAUAGUGAAAGACGGUUUUGCUGUCACUUAUAGAUGGAUCCGCGCCGCAUUAGCUAGUUGGUAAGGUAACGGCUUACCAAGGCAACGAUGCGUAGCCGACCUGAGAGGGUGAUCGGCCACACUGGAACGGAGACACGGUCCAGAGUCCUACGGGAGGCAGCAGUAGGGAAUCUUCCGCAAUGGGCGAAAGCCUGACGGAGCAACGCCGCGUGAGUGAUGAAGGUCUUCGGAGCGUAAAACUCUGUUAUUAGGGAAGAACAAAUGUGUAAGUAACUAUGCACGUCUUGACGGUACCUAAUCAGAAAGCCACGGCUAACUACGUG